This 346-nucleotide ribosomal RNA is filed under the name uncultured Treponema sp. Its description in RNAcentral is "bacterial SSU rRNA". It matches the Rfam family "Bacterial small subunit ribosomal RNA", at positions 355 to 692 of the family's 1533-position model. Lineage: Bacteria; Pseudomonadati; Spirochaetota; Spirochaetia; Treponematales; Treponemataceae. The record is from RNAcentral.
CUAAGAAUAUUCCGCAAUGGAGGAAACUCUGACGGAGCGACGCCGCGUGGAUGAUGAAGGUCGGAAGAUUGUAAAAUCCUUUUAUGACUGAGGAAUAAGCUGGGUGAGAGAAACGCCUGGUGGUGACUGUAGGUCAUGAAUAAGCAACGGCUAAUUACGUGCCAGCAGCCGCGGUAACACGUAAGUUGCGAGCGUUGUUCGGAAUUAUUGGGCGUAAAGGGCAUGUAGGCGGUAUUGCAAGCCUGGUGUGAAAGGCAGGGGCUCAACCUCUGGACUGCGCUGGGAACUGCGAUACUAGAGUCGCUGAGGGGCAAUCAGAAUUCCAGGUGUAGGGGUGAAAUCUGUA